Molecule: transfer RNA, 71 nt
Filed under: Cercophora newfieldiana
Lineage: Eukaryota; Fungi; Ascomycota; Sordariomycetes; Sordariales; Lasiosphaeriaceae
Rfam family: tRNA
About the family: Transfer RNA (tRNA) molecules are approximately 80 nucleotides in length. Their secondary structure includes four short double-helical elements and three loops (D, anti-codon, and T loops).
Source: Rfam by way of RNAcentral
GCACCAGUGGUUUAGUGGUAAAAUCCAUCGUUGCCAUCGAUGGGCCCCGCGUUCGAUUCGCAGCUGGCGCA